UACGGAGGGUGCGAGCGUUGUCCGGAAUCACUGGGCGUAAAGGGCGCGUAGGCGGCUCGGUAAGUAGGGGGUGAAAUCCUGCGGCUUAACCGCAGGGCUGCCUUCUAAACUGUCGAGCUUGAGCACGGUAGAGGCAGAUGGAAUUCCCGGUGUAGCGGUGGAAUGCGUAGAGAUCGGGAAGAACAUCAGUGGCGAAGGCGGUCUGCUGGGCCGUUGCUGACGCUGAGGCGCGACAGCGUGGGGAGCAAACAGG
Molecule: ribosomal RNA, 253 nt
Filed under: uncultured bacterium
Lineage: Bacteria
Description: partial 16S ribosomal RNA
Rfam family: Bacterial small subunit ribosomal RNA
Source: RNAcentral